RNAcentral lists this long non-coding RNA (1258 nucleotides) under Equus caballus (horse). Its description in RNAcentral is "lncRNA (ENSECAG00000044641.1)". The record is from RNAcentral. Lineage: Eukaryota; Metazoa; Chordata; Mammalia; Perissodactyla; Equidae.
CUCUUAAGAUAUAUAAAAAGCAGCACAAUGACAGCUGACAACAUAAAAAUAAUUAGUAUUUAUCGAGUGCUCAUUCUGUACUAGGCGCUUUGCAUGAAUUAUUUCGUCUAAUCAUUAUAACAACCCUAUGAGCAAGGGUGCUAAACUCUUACUAUCCCCAUUUUUAUGAUUGAAAAAACUGAGGCUUAGAGAAAUGACUUGCUUAAGAGCACACUGCUGAUAAAUGAACUCCAGCUUGUUUGAUUUUAGUAGUCCAAGUAAUUUUGUAUGUUAUAUUGAGAAUGUGUAAUAAAAAGUAUCAUGCAGAUUAUGAGGGUUCUAGAGAAGAAAGGCAAGAGCAUUGUGAGCUGGAAUGGUCUAGAUGGCAUUUUGGAAGAUGGAGGUGAAAUUUGAAAACUCAUUGGGAUUUGGAGGUCUGUUUUUGUCAUUGGGUGUAUCAGGUGGUAGGACAGUGGGGGUGAAGUUUCUAAGUGGAAAAGGCAGCAAGCACAGAAGUGUGUGCAAGAGAAUACAUCUGGGGUGAGGGCCAGUAGAAAGGAAGCAUUGAAAUGAAGGUGUUCUCCUUAUUUUCCCCAAUUUUGAAGAUUUCAUUUCUGGUGGCAGAGAGUUUGCAAAUAGAGUCUUGAUAGUAAUAAAGAGUACAGGGGCUGGCCUGGUGAUGUAGUGCUUAAGUUCAGGCACUCUGCUUCACCGUCCCGGGGUUCACAGGUUCGGAUCCUGGGCAUAGACCUACACACCGCUCAUCAAGCCAUGCUGUGGCAGCGUCCCACAUACAAAAUAGAGAAAGAUUGGCACAGAUAUUAGCUUAGAGACAAUCUUCUUCAAGAAAAAGAGGAAGAUUGACAACGGAUGUUAGCUCAGGGCCAGUCUUCCUUACAAAAAGAGAAGGAGGUAUGAGAGAAGGUGAGACUGGUAAGUACAGAAUAGAAUUGAGGACAGAAAAGGAAGGCUUAAGGAUGAAAAAGGAAGAACAAGCUUAAAAGAGUAAGAAAUAAUUAAAGGAACUGGAGAAUCCUUGACUUUUUCAAAGACUCCACGUUACUAACAUGAGAGGAGGGCUAAUUGCACAAAUGAAAUCCUUGAGAGGACGAGAAGGCAUGGGCCACUUGCAAGUCAUGGAAGAUGGAAGGUUGGCCUUACCUAGGAGCAAGGGUACUUCUGUUAUAUCAAAGAGAAGGUAAAGAUUUUGAAUUACAUAUGCAGAGAAGUUGGUAAGAUUUUAGUUGACUUUUGCCUGACUUAUUAGGAUAGGGCAGCC